Molecule: ribosomal RNA, 490 nt
Filed under: uncultured bacterium
Lineage: Bacteria
Description: partial 16S ribosomal RNA
Rfam family: Bacterial small subunit ribosomal RNA
Source: RNAcentral
AUUGAACGCUGGCGGCAUGCCUUACACAUGCAAGUCGAACGGCAGCAUGAUCUAGCUUGCUCGAUUGAUGGCGAGUGGCGCACGGGUGAGUCAUAUAUCGGAACGUGCUCUGUGGCGGGGGAAAACUAGUCGAAAGAUAACCUAAUACCGCAUACGACCUGAGGGUGAAAGUUGGGGACUGCAAGGCCUCCUUCCUUAGGAUCAUCCGUUGUUUGAUUAGCUAGUUGGUGAGGUAAAGGCUAACCAAGGCGACGAUCAGUAGCUGGUCUGAGAGGACGAUCGGCCACACUGGGACUGAGACACGGCCCAGACUCCUACGGGAGGCAGCAGUAGGGAAUUUUGGGCAAUGGGCGAAAGCCUGAUCCAGCAAUGCCGCGUGUGUGAAGAAGGCCUUCGGAUUGUAAAACACUUUUGUCAGGAAAGAAAUGGCUUUGGUUAAUACCUGGGGUUGAUGACGGUACCGGAAGAGUAAGGACCGGCUAACUACGUG